AUGAACGAAUUUGAUGGAGUCAAUGCCGUGUUGGGUGCGGCGGGCUGGCCGGGAGCAACGGCCAUCGUGGCGGCUGUGCUGGGGGGCAUCAGCCAUGGUGGCGGAAUCCACAGAGGUGGCUACUGGAUCACACAUCUCUGGAUAGGUGGCUCACCGGGGACGGCCGACGAUGACGGCGGAAGGAGCACAAGGGACGGCAGCGUCUGGCCAGGCAAGGGUGGAUCGUGGCACAGACCCGCUGGAAGGGCUCCUGGCGGCGGCUGCCCGGGAGUGUGGAUGGUCGUGGCACGAUCUUUUCUUGAGACUGGGAACAAUGGACUUUACCUAUGGGCUUCGAAUGGGCUUUGUAAUGUCCAAACAAUUUUGAUGACGUGGCUUCAUGAGGAGGCAAGAAAAUCAGCUAGAUUUGCACCAAAUUUUACCAAAACCCCUAAAAAAACUAAUUUUACUGAAAAAAGUGGAUUUGCACCAAACGACACGAGACGAGACGAGUCACCUGCCGCCACGCCGCCCAUAUAUGCGUGUCAUGCCCGUGCUCAGCCCGAUGCAUCAUGCACCACCACACCCGUCCACUCGUCAAGCUCCAACGCUGAGCCUGAGCGCAUGGAGAUGGAGGGUAGCAGCUCGUUGCGGCACCUCGCCGAGUACGACGACUUCUUCUUCGGGUGGCUCGACGACAGCGCACGGCACUCGCCGCCGUCCUUGGACCGCCUCGUCGGCAGCGUCGGUCAUUCCUUCCGAAUCUCAACGUCGUCCUCCUUCAUCGACUUGUACUUGUACCCCCACGACAAUCUCUUCUCCAUCGACUUAGACUUAGCCACGGCGGCGAGUGAGAUCGACUUCGACCUCCCGGUAGUAGACGACGCCACGCCGUCCCCGACGCUGCUGCAGAUCAGCGCGAGCCGCCUCCUCCCCUGCGAGCCCGGAGGCGGCUCUGGCGCGCAAGAUCAAGAAGACGGCGACGACUCGGUGAUCACCAGUCGGCAUCGCUCUGCGGACGCCCCGAGCGCUCCGUGGUUGUCAGCCUUCUCGGCGCGGAGCACGCUGGUCUCGCUGAGUGCGUGCUCCAGCCCGACGAGCAAGCACGCCAUGUCGCGGUCGACGUUGUGUGCCAGGACCAGGAGGCGCCGCGCGGCGUCGUCGUCGCCCUGGAAGGUGCUGCGGUUCGUGAUGCCACUGUACCGGAAGGUCAGGGCGAUCGGGCGGAGGCACAGCAGCAGGUUCACGUUGGCGGCGAGCCCGGCGCGCGGGGCCACGUCGAGCGUCGGGUACCACGGCAGUGCCGACACGGACGUGGACGUUCAUGACGCCAUCAUCUACUGCAAGAAGUCCAGUGGAUCAGGUGUGCAGGAGACUAAUCUCGCAUGUCAGCCACAUGAUUUUCUAAACCCGUGA
RNAcentral lists this ribosomal RNA (1395 nucleotides) under Triticum aestivum (bread wheat). RNAcentral's name for it is "partial small subunit ribosomal RNA". Lineage: Eukaryota; Viridiplantae; Streptophyta; Magnoliopsida; Poales; Poaceae. The record is from RNAcentral.